ACAACUUGAGAGUUUGAUCCUGGCUCAGAACGAACGCUGGCGGCAUGCCUAACACAUGCAAGUCGAACGAACCCUUCGGGGUUAGUGGCGCACGGGUGCGUAACGCGUGGGAAUCUGCCCUUUGCUUCGGA
This is a ribosomal RNA of 131 nucleotides. It matches the Rfam family "Bacterial small subunit ribosomal RNA", at positions 1 to 142 of the family's 1533-position model.